This is a non-coding RNA of Drosophila virilis, 869 nucleotides long. The record is from RefSeq and is a predicted model, not a curated record. Lineage: Eukaryota; Metazoa; Arthropoda; Insecta; Diptera; Drosophilidae.
UCAGUUUCAUUUCAGUUACUACAACGAUUUCAAGACCUACGGACGUUCCACACGGCGUUGGUAGCGCGCGCUGCAAUUAAGUAACGGGACAGAGCGUUUAAAAAAAUACAACAACAAUAUAAACAAACAAAAUCAACAAACACACAGAACAAUAGAAAAAGCAAUUGUAAUAACUAAGCCGUAUUACACAACUCGCCAACUCUCGCCCAUCGUAAUAACAACGACGACAACUACAUCAAUCAACAAAAUAAAUACGUUUGGUACAUGCUAAAUAAAUACAUUAUUGUGUUGAGAUACCAAAAAUAUGCAUUCUAAGGCUAUGUACAUAACUACAUUCACAUAUUUCUUAUGAUUAAUGCACACCGCUUGGCAUUAAGGAUACAGAUAUUUCUUAGAAAUCUAACACAGUUCUGCCAAAAACAAUUGUAAAGACAAACAAUAGACAUCUAAUACAUACAUACACGCAUAGACAUAAAUAGAUAUAUAUAUAUAUAUAGCAUAUAUAACAUAUAUAUAUAUAUAUAUGUAUAUAUAUAUAUAUAAAGAGAGAGAGAGAGAGAGAGAUACGUAAAUAACACCGAUGAAAAGCCAUUACCGUCUAGAAGAGAUAUAUGUUUAAGGUAUGCGUACACAUAGGACUACAUACAUAUGUAUAUGUAUAUAUAUUUAUGGGACGAUCUAGAAAUCUACGCUUAUUACAUCAACUAACCCGGGAACACUUAGUCAAACCAGAGAGAAAAACACAAUUCUCAUUUGACACAGAGAAACAGUUUAAUAAAUAUAUUCAAUACAACGUGCAAUACACAUAACAUUGAACAUAAAGCAAAAAAAAUAACAAAAAAAAAUAACAAAAAAAAAACAGCACUAUU